Long non-coding RNA from Podarcis raffonei (Aeolian wall lizard), 1545 nucleotides. RefSeq lists it as uncharacterized. The transcript has 2 exons. The record is from RefSeq and is a predicted model, not a curated record. Lineage: Eukaryota; Metazoa; Chordata; Lepidosauria; Squamata; Lacertidae.
UUUCUUUCUCUCUGCCAUUUUCUCUGCAAAAGAAAAUGCCUUUAAAACCCCAAAGUUGAGAGAAAACCUCUCUAGGCUUGAAGCUGAGAUACAUGAAAGAUCAGCAGAACAUUUUAAUGGUUGCCAAGACACAACUUGUGCUUUUAUUCCAUUGCAACCAAGGAAGGGGAGAGAUUUAUUAUUUCUUGUUCUAAUCAAGGCGUAGAAUUGUCAGGAAUUCGAAGUUUCCCAGCUUCAGCGAACACUGCAUUAUUUUAAUUUCGGGAAAGACAAAAAUCUCUUGCAUAUAGCUUGUACAGAAAGUUCUUGGGACCUCGGGAUUUAAAAACAAAUAAUAAAUAAAUAAAGUAUGUACUUUUGCUAUUUAUGUUUACUUCCGCAAGUUGUAAUUAGUAGUUGCACUUUAACGUACACCUUGUUCAUGAACGAUUUGUUUUGAAGGACGGAAAAAAUGUGUAUAUAAUCAGUAGUAACCUUGACUUUAUAUCCAAGUCUUGUACUAUUCUGAACAACCCUUGAACCUGUUUCAUGAGAAGAGUUGCAGUGGUCACGAUCUUGCUUAAUGAAGCUUCUGCAGUAAGCAUUCCUAAACAGGAAGAGAAAAUCCAACAAUACUUGCCAAAACGGUUUCCUUGCGGUAAUUUUUAUCAUAUUUGAACUUGUAUCACUUUUAAUAAGAUUCCCCCCCCCCCCCAAAUAAACCCCAAGGAUAUAAUUUUGUAGGAACUGCCGCUUGAUUUGUGGUAAUUCCAUAAAAGCAAAAAAAAAUAAAAAAAAAAUUGGGGUGUGGGUGUGAAAAUUGCACAAGGCACAUGACAAUUAUGUGCAGCUUUGAAUGAAAAAAUGAUUUUGGUUUAGUUUGCUCAGAGAGCAGCACAAGACGGUUGGAGCAGUGUAAGGUGCAACUUGUACCAUUUCAUAUUAAAGGGGUGUUGUUGUUUUUUAAAGGAUGUAGUCGGAGGAUAUUUUGCUAUAAAGUCACAUCAGUAUUUCUCCGUCAUUGGUGCGUAAUCACAGACGGUCUGCACCAGGCGUCCUCAACCUUGGCCCUCCAGAUGUUUUUGGCCUACAUUAUCAGCAUUUUUAAUUUGUAUACCGUCUUUCUAUAUUACAAUACUCAAGGCAGUUUACAAGCUGAAGAAACAAAAAAUGUACAUCUUAUAACAAUCUAAUGCAAUACAAAAAUGUGAUAAUAAAGCAUAACUUUAAAAAAUACAACUCCACUCCCAUGAUCCCUAGCUAGCAGGACCAGUGGUCAGGGAUGAUGGGAAUUGUAGUCUCAAAACAUCUGGAGGGCCGAGCAAACCGAUGGGACCCUUAUCCUUUAUGGGUGAAGGCAGUAAUCUCAAAAUAUUUAUUUUAUUCCGGGUUCCAUCUAAUUCAUGAAGGACAACGCCAGGUUUUUGGAGCACUUAGACUAAGGGUAUACAUUAUGAGAGACACCUUGUUUGCUUAUGUCUUCCCAGCAGUGGUUUCGGGAAAGUUCCUCUUGCCCUUCACAUAAUUUUGCUCUGAAAAAGAGCAAAUGUGAUCCACCACCAUUCC